This 600-nucleotide ribosomal RNA is filed under the name Agromyces sp. RNAcentral's name for it is "bacterial SSU rRNA". It matches the Rfam family "Bacterial small subunit ribosomal RNA", at positions 82 to 693 of the family's 1533-position model. Lineage: Bacteria; Bacillati; Actinomycetota; Actinomycetes; Micrococcales; Microbacteriaceae. The record is from RNAcentral.
GCUGGGUGGAUUAGUGGCGAACGGGUGAGUAACACGUGAGUAACCUGCCCUGGACUCUGGGAUAACCCCGAGAAAUCGGAGCUAAUACCGGAUAGGACCUUUCCCCGCAUGGGGUUUGGUGGAAAGUUUUUCGGUUUGGGAUGGACUCGCGGCCUAUCAGCUUGUUGGUGAGGUAAUGGCUCACCAAGGCGUCGACGGGUAGCCGGCCUGAGAGGGUGACCGGCCACACUGGGACUGAGACACGGCCCAGACUCCUACGGGAGGCAGCAGUGGGGAAUAUUGCACAAUGGGCGCAAGCCUGAUGCAGCAACGCCGCGUGCGGGAUGACGGCCUUCGGGUUGUAAACCGCUUUUAGUAGGGAAGAAGGGCUUCGGCUUGACGGUACCUGCAGAAAAAGGACCGGCUAACUACGUGCCAGCAGCCGCGGUAAUACGUAGGGUCCGAGCGUUGUCCGGAAUUAUUGGGCGUAAAGAGCUCGUAGGCGGUUUGUCGCGUCUGCUGUGAAAACUAGAGGCUCAACCUCUAGCCUGCAGUGGGUACGGGCAGACUUGAGUGGUGUAGGGGAGACUGGAAUUCCUGGUGUAGCGGUGGAAUGCGCAG